AUGUCAUUUCAGUCUGCUACUCCUCUGCCAUCUUGCCUCUCCAUCUCCCACAGAAAUUGCCAUCUGUCAAAGAAAGCCUGCUGGGAUCAAUGUAACACCACUCCCCACGGGCAGCUUGCUUCCAGUGACAACCGUAGCAAUCAAUGCUGAGAUCCAAAGUCUAGUGCCCUUGCGUCCAGGCCCGAGGUAAGGACCAUCCCAGUUCCAGAACUCCCAAGACCUUUGUUGCAACUCCAUUUCAAUUCAGAAGUUCUCCUUCUCCAAACUCUAUUUCCUUUUAUCCUUUACUAUUUUUUAUCCCCAAAGAAUUCCCUAGUAAAUUUUCUGCAUGCAAAUUUCCACCUCAGUAUCAGUUCCCAAGGAACUGAACUCAGGCCACAUGGGCCAGUAUAAAAGAAAUAGAGGUGUUGAAGAGUG
Molecule: long non-coding RNA, 417 nt
Filed under: Mustela putorius furo (domestic ferret)
Lineage: Eukaryota; Metazoa; Chordata; Mammalia; Carnivora; Mustelidae
Description: lncRNA (ENSMPUG00000024403.1)
Source: RNAcentral